UGCAUUUGAAAUUUCUCAGUACCUUCUUCAUUCUGGGCUGCUUCAGCUCUCAUGGGCUUUUGUCAUUCGUCUUUCCAUAGUAACAACCAUCUGUACAAUGAGCAGUAAAUUCAUCUAGACAAAUCACAGAAGAAGUUAACCAAGAGUAAGGGUAAGCAAUAAAGAAGACUUUCGUGCAGACCACACUCCUUCAUUGAAGUAGACAUUGCAUUCUAAAUUCAAUCGAGCAGAUAUGUAUGAGGAAAUUGCCAAGACUCAGACAAUCACAUGCACACUGACCUUAAAGUUACCAAGUAAACUUAUCAAUAGUAUUCCAGUAAAAAGAAUCAAUAGUAGUUCAAAAAUAUCAAUUGAAACCGUUUCAGUCCAAACAGGGCAUUUAUUUUGCAAGCAGAGAGCUUGCAGAGGUGCCUUGUAUUUAUUCAACAAAAUAUUUUUAGAGGAAUUGUCUUGGUAAGAAACACUUAUUAGCUAACUUCUUUUACUGGAGGUGUAAGGACAAGAGUAACUCAUGCUUAUUAGAGGAUACUGACAAACGUAGUCACAUUCAGACAGUACUUUCCUUUUGCAAGAAGUGUUCUCUUCAGUUUUUUUUACCCAAGUCACAUAAAUUACUACAGUCUUUUAUAAGCCACUGCUCACCCAAUAUACUCCGUAGAAGUUUUGCUUGUGCAUGAGUGUGUGACAUGACUGUCAAGCUGCGGCUGCAACUAGAGUGAGACGAGCAGGUAGCAGAACUAUGGUGAUUUGACUGAUUGGCCACCUAGGAUGGCUACGCCAGGUCUUGUAUAAUCUAUAUAUAUGGUUUACCGAACACCGAGAUAUGCACAGAUAAUUAUGGUGUUUUAUGGUGUCUGCUUGAACAUUAUUCAAUUAGUGAACAAAGGAACUGGUGAGCAUGUGUCCAAAGAAAUAUAUAGUAAUGUCUCAGUUGACUGAAAAACUUCAUAACUUCCUAGUUCUUAUGCACACAAAAAUCAAAAGCCCUUCUGGGUGGGAGUGGGACACAUAUACUAAUUCUUUUAUUCAGUUGGUAAUAGGAUACUUGAAGUCUUGAGCUAAGAAAUAGACUGAGCAACUAUUUCAAACAUGGCCAGCUCCUAUAGUGUGACAGGUGAUGUGUACAAGCCCCCAGAACUCAACUUUAUAAAUGGUCAGCCUUGCAGCAAUGGAGACAAACUCUGCAAGCAAGUAAAUCACACUAUUUCUGACCGAUUACAUGUGAAGAUAAUAACUUCAACACAAUAACACAUAUUCCUAUUGUAGCUUCAAAAAUUCAAGUGGCUUAAGGACCAGCAUUGCUAAUCUCAUAAUGAGAAAAAAAGGAAAAUACUAGUAGAGUGGUAUUCUGAGAGUGACACAAGAGGGAAGAUGCAUAUGGUACAAGGAACGAAAGCUGCCACUUAGUGGCCUGUGGCUCUACCGCUCCAGUGCUACCCUUUGGAGGUACCGUGGUAGAAUGAGGUCACCAUUUUUCUUAAGAAUAGGUCGUAGUUGCUUUCUGUGAGGUGGUCCUGCGUGCAAGGAAGAAGGCAUUCACAUGGAAGCAAGCAGGAGGAUCCAUCUCGAGCUGUUUUGUUUUGCAUGACAGAAGAUGGCAGAAUGGUCCCAGUACGUUGGCACACGGGUCAUGCACCAAGGUUGACGUGACCACAACACCAAGCAUCAUAGCCUUGCAGGCUGUAGCACCUCCGUAUCUCCAUGGUGUUCAUAAUUGUUAGUGCCACUAAAAUAUACCCUAAAUUAGAAUAUGCUUCUAGAUCAGGAGCAUACAGGACAGGCUAAUUAUUUUGACAUCACGAGUAGAUAUUCUGGGAAAAGGGAUGUCAUGGAAUAGAAGAGAUGUGUCAUGCGGAAGCAAAUCAUAGGAUUGGCGCAAGCUCAAUGGCAUAAGAGGUUUUCUCAUGUCUAAAUGUCAGUUACUACUAUAUUUUGCAUGCGGCUAAAUUCCAUUUUCAUCAACAAUAAUUAGAUGGAAUGUAGAAAGGAAAGGAAAGUAACUUACAGUAUUAUAUGCAUAUUAUUCGACACCUUCAGCCUUAAUUCCAACAAAGUAAAAAGAUCAACGCAGCAGAGGUUCAGACUUUAGAGGCUUCUUAGUCAGGAUUGAAAUUGUGGUUCAGCCUGAAAUCAUUUCAAAAAAUUUCAUGAUCAGAAAGCUGCAGAACCACGCUUUUUCAAUAUACCCACUGAGACAGAUUUCAUAGUAAACAUUAGCAGGAUCAUAGCUUCUUAGCUCAACCAUAUGUUUCUAGUACAUAUGGAAUCUGAAAAAUAAAAUGCUAUUUACCAUGUGAAAGUAAAAAAGAAACAGAUACGAUGGAUCACUCCAUGGAUGCCAAAGAACUAUAUAUGUUUGGGAACUUUGAAUGAGCCUGCAACUGAAUCAAGCAAAAUGAAAAAAACAAAGAGCACCACUAUCUGAGUAACUAAGCGCCUGCUUGGGCUGGAAAAACUUAUACUAUAGUUUGCUUCCAUCAGGGUGCUUAACUACCUGGUACGAUUUUCAACCUUGUCGCAAUCUCCAAGUUCCUUGGCGAAAAAAGCC
RNAcentral lists this long non-coding RNA (2548 nucleotides) under Oryza sativa (Asian cultivated rice). RNAcentral's name for it is "long non-coding RNA (OSAT_LNC001756)". The record is from RNAcentral. Lineage: Eukaryota; Viridiplantae; Streptophyta; Magnoliopsida; Poales; Poaceae.